This 530-nucleotide ribosomal RNA is filed under the name Lactiplantibacillus plantarum. RNAcentral describes it as "bacterial SSU rRNA". It matches the Rfam family "Bacterial small subunit ribosomal RNA", at positions 363 to 890 of the family's 1533-position model. The record is from RNAcentral. Lineage: Bacteria; Bacillati; Bacillota; Bacilli; Lactobacillales; Lactobacillaceae.
CUUCCACAAUGGGCGCAAGCCUGAUGGAGCAACACCGCGUGAGUGAAGAAGGGUUUCGGCUCGUAAAGCUCUGUUGUUAAAGAAGAACACGUAUGAGAGUAACUGUUCAUACGUUGACGGUAUUUAACCAGAAAGUCACGGCUAACUACGUGCCAGCAGCCGCGGUAAUACGUAGGUGGCAAGCGUUAUCCGGAUUUAUUGGGCGUAAAGAGAGUGCAGGCGGUUUUCUAAGUCUGAUGUGAAAGCCUUCGGCUUAACCGGAGAAGUGCAUCGGAAACUGGAUAACUUGAGUGCAGAAGAGGGUAGUGGAACUCCAUGUGUAGCGGUGGAAUGCGUAGAUAUAUGGAAGAACACCAGUGGCGAAGGCGGCUACCUGGUCUGCAACUGACGCUGAGACUCGAAAGCAUGGGUAGCGAACAGGAUUAGAUACCCUGGUAGUCCAUGCCGUAAACGAUGAGUGCUAGGUGUUGGAGGGUUUCCGCCCUUCAGUGCCGGAGCUAACGCAUAAGCACUCCGCCUGGAGACUCGCA